RNAcentral lists this ribosomal RNA (845 nucleotides) under Haliotrematoides magnigastrohamus. RNAcentral's name for it is "partial 28S ribosomal RNA". It matches the Rfam family "Eukaryotic large subunit ribosomal RNA", at positions 23 to 668 of the family's 3401-position model. Lineage: Eukaryota; Metazoa; Platyhelminthes; Monogenea; Dactylogyridea; Ancyrocephalidae. The record is from RNAcentral.
ACCCGCUGAAUUUAAGCAUAUUAGUAAGCGGAGGAAAGAAACUAACCAGGAUUCCUCUAGUAACGGCGAGUGAACGGGGAUUAGCCCAUCACCGAAGCCCGUGUGUUUUUGCAUACAGGGCAAUGUGGUGUUAAGGCUUGCACCUGGGACUGUGAACUCACCAAAAGUCCAGCUCCGAUUCUGGCUUAUUGUAGUCCAAAGCGGGUGAAAGACCCGUGAUGGUGGGUUAUGUAGUUUAUCGCAGUCCUCAGAUGUGCGUGCCUUCGAGUCGGAUUGCUUGAGAUGCAGUCCAAAGUGGGUGGUAACUCCAUCCAAGGCUAAAUACUGGCAUGAGUCCGAUAGUAGACAAGUACCGUGAGGGAAGUUGAAAAGUACUCUGAAGAGAGAGUAAAUAGUACGUGAAGCCGAUUGCAGGGAAGCUGGUGGAGUCAAGCUUCAUGCUUGAGGAAUUCUUGUCAUGAGUUUAUUGUGGAUUUGCAUGUGAUCAGUCAGCUUGGAAUAAGUUGGGCACAUUCGUGUGCUUCAAGUCAUUCUGGGUAGUGUGUUUGAAGCUGGUCAUUAUGUUUUGCUCAUGAUAAUCUAUUCUUCGUGGCAUAAAUCACAGUCGAUAUUGUUGCGCCCGAUGAUUGUCUAACUGUGCUUCGGUAGGCCUUGUGCUUACCGGGUGCAGAACGGGAGGUACGGCCAUUAGCCUCGUGUUAAUGUGUCUACGAAGAUGAGCCGACUUUCAUCUGUGGUGUCUUCAGUAUCGUGAUUGCAUGGUGCUACGCCUUUGGGCCUGGCAUUAGUUAGAACUGUGAUUCUGAGGUAGACGUUCCACCCGACCCGUCUUGAAACACGGACCA